Molecule: ribosomal RNA, 312 nt
Filed under: Triticum aestivum (bread wheat)
Lineage: Eukaryota; Viridiplantae; Streptophyta; Magnoliopsida; Poales; Poaceae
Description: partial small subunit ribosomal RNA
Source: RNAcentral
AUGCUGGCCCCGACGCCGUAUCAAGUGCCGGCGAAGGAGGACAAAGAGGAGAGCAAAAAGUCUAGGUUUGACUCCUACUCUAAAGGCACACCGCACGCUAUGUCCGGGAAGACUGUAACUCCCACUUCUGAAGACGAAGGGGAAGAAGAAGCUGAUAUCCCUUCUCCCCAUGGGAAGGAAAGGACUGCCUCCGAAGAUUUGAAGGUGGAGGCUUCCAAGAGAGGGAAAAUGUCCCUGUCAGAUGGUUCGGGCUCGGAAGACAACGUAGCCGCACAGUUCCCCCAUAAGGAUAAGCCUUUCGUCGAAUCGUAA